UCGUAAGGACGGCCUUACGGCUCUUCGUUUUCAUCGGGGACGGCCCCA
This 48-nucleotide non-coding RNA is filed under the name Paraburkholderia unamae. RNAcentral describes it as "mini-ykkC". It matches the Rfam family "Guanidine-II riboswitch aptamer (mini-ykkC)". Rfam says of the family: Simpler in structure and has fewer highly conserved nucleotide positions than the ykkC-yxkD leader. Despite this each of its two stem-loop structures directly bind free guanidine. Therefore, mini-ykkC RNA motif represents a distinct class of guanidine-sensing RNAs. The record is from RNAcentral. Lineage: Bacteria; Pseudomonadati; Pseudomonadota; Betaproteobacteria; Burkholderiales; Burkholderiaceae.